Molecule: long non-coding RNA, 4433 nt
Filed under: Nicotiana benthamiana
Lineage: Eukaryota; Viridiplantae; Streptophyta; Magnoliopsida; Solanales; Solanaceae
Description: long non-coding RNA (NBEN_LNC032814)
Source: RNAcentral
CUACCUCUGAGCCCUCUCCUCUUCUCAAAUUCUCUCUAACACUCGAAACCCUAGCAGCCCCUACCUUCUUUUUUGACUAAAUCCCACUUCAGUCUAUGGCUUCUCAGAUUAUGGACAGCCUGUGCUCACCUGCUUUAACCUCCAGGCCCUGGUUGUUCAAUGCUUUGAGGUCCGACCUCAACGAUGCCUAUUCAGAUCCUCUGCAGAUUUGAGGUCCUAGGGCCUCUCCGGCUCCGUUCCUACGUGUUCGAGCCUCAAGAGCCUAUAUAUGGCUCAGAUUUGUUUGAGACCAGAUCCCUUUCCAAGCCUUCUCAUUUCUAGGGUUUCUAAGAAACCCUAAAGUUUUUCGAGGUUGCUACUUCUUUUAUUUUCUUAGAUAUGUGAUAAAUAUGUGUUAUACUCGAAGUUUUAAAGCUUUUCCCCAAUUUUCUUUUUCAAAUUUCGUCUGUUUCAAUUUAUGGUUUUCAAAAAUCUUGAACUGAAUUUUGUCUUUUCUUCUUCUUCUUUAUUUAUGUGAACCUGUAUAUGCUUUAUUCUUAUGUAUUUUCGCUUGUGUACGUCUUCUCCUGUGUUUCUAUGUUUUACUGGUAUCACGCAUGUUCUUCCGUUUGUGCUCUUUCUCCUACUGGGUUCUAUAAGCAUGUUCUAUAUGUUUUUUCUCUCGCAUAUUCCUCUACCGUAUUUUGUUUACUCAGUUUUUACUUCUUGCCUGCCUUUACUGGAUUUUGUAUAAGCCUAAGCAGAUCCAUUUACUGGCUUUCCUAAAACCUGUAUUGUUUUUCUCUUCUGAACUUGUUCGAGCAACAAGCUUUGCCUAAAUGAUUCCCUAUAAUUCGAAUUUGCUUUUUCCCUUUGUUUGUUCUCCCAUAAGUCUCUGAAACAGGCUAUUGAGCCUAUUCUACUUCUUAUUUUCGCCUAUGUAUCUGAGGUGAGUCAGAAACCCUAGUGUUUAGGGUUCUUGAUGAGCUUGGCUAUUUGCUUGGGUUAGGUUCCACUCAAACCCUGACCCUCUUUCAAAGACUCACUUUGAGUCUAUGAACCUAAUUUUCCUUGCUACUCUGAUUUUUUCUAUGUUUUAAAACGAUGCUUUCUUGUCUCUGCAUGCUUUUAUAUGACUUUCCCUUCUUUCAAAAGGCCUUUUGCCAACUUGUGAUUGAUUUCGAGUUCCUUGUAACAAGGCUCGAUUGAUUGUUACUGAUUUUCAAAUUGAACCUUUCCCUUACCUUUUUUCUGACUAAAUUCAUUCAAGCAAGGCUUUCAAUCUAAUGGUUGUUAAAUGAUCUUCUUUCCUUAUUUGCAUAAUCCGUGUAUUUCAAAACAUUGUCCUUAAAUAACUUUUAUGUAUUUGCCCUCAAUUGCAUGCUUUGCACAUAGUGUUUAUUCAAUUUCUUUCCAUAAAAAGUUUUACCCUUUUCGAAUAUGAAUCCCUUAAUUAAGGGAAGCCUUGUGUAAUUGAUUGACAAUCAGCUCUUUAACUAUUUUCUUACCUUAUUUCUGCUUGAUUUCGACACUAUAAAGUAUCCUUUUUCGAAUAUGAAUCCCUUAAUUAAGGGAAGCCUUGUGUGAUUGAUUGACAGUCAGCUCUUUAACUAUUUUCUUACCUUACUUCCGCCUGAUUUCUACACUAUGAAAAGGCACGACCUUUUGACACUUCAAAAAAAAAAACACAGACACCUUUGUCUUAAAAAAAUAUACUACUUUCUCUACUACUACUCUCUCUACUACUGAUUUCUCUACUACUGCUUUCUCUGUUACCACUUUCUCCGUAGAGCACCCUGCUCCUAUUCUCAUUACUGUGAAAAUAUUCUUUGAGUUCCUUUGAAUUCUCAAGUGAUUGCUGAAAUUUCUGAGUUUUCUCCUGCUGACUCUCUGGUUGUUUACUUGCUAUUGUUGUUCUACUGUAAUGACCCAACCCGUCGUCUCUGGUAUCUCUACCCAGUUUUCCCUGUUCUAUACUUCUAUAUGUUUCAUUAUAUGUGUUUGAGGAAUUUGAAGUAAUUCGGAUAGAGUUUGGGUAGAAAUGAGACAAUUAAUCCCUUUAUGAGAAGGUUAGUUUGGAAAAAUCAAUCGAAUGUUGACUUAUGAGUUAGAGGACUCGAAAUGAAUUUCAAACGAUUCGACUAGUUUCAGGUGGUAAUUUAUGACUUAGGAGCGCAAUCUGAACUGAAUUUGGAGGUCUGAUGUAGAUUUAGGCAUUGGCUAAGUUAGAAUUUUGGCGAAGUCCGGUUGAUACGUGAGAUUUUGAUCUGUGGUUUGGAAUGGAAUUCCGAUGGUUGCAGUAGCUCUGUUAGGUGAUUUUGGAUAUGCGUGAAAAUUUUCAGAUCAUUCGGAGGUGUUUAGGUCGGGUUUUGGAUCAAUUGUGUGUUUUGGAAGUUUUAGAAGAAUUUAAGCUUGAAACCGAUGUAAAUUUGGUAUUUGAUAUUAGUUUUGGUAUUUUGAGAGUGCAAAUAAGUUUCAAUGAUCAUAUGUGAUCUUUUAGUGUGUUCGUAUGCGGUCCAGAGGAGUUCGGAUGAGUUUCGGAUAGGUUUUGGCUGCGUUGUGCUCGUUUUUCUUAUGUUUCAACGUCGUUUCUUCAAGCAUAAAUGAUAUCAUAUUGAACAAAUAAGCUUUGAUUACUUUUUUGAAUGAAUCACUAGAUCCGUAUUGUAAUUAUGGACCGUAGAAAAAAGAAUCAUCGAAUAUGGACAUCAUAUGAGGAUUUUAUGGCCGUUUUAUCAAGGUUUGCCCAGAUUUUCAAAUUAAUGACGAAAUUGCCCCUGACGGCGUAUUAAAAACCUGCACUAUUUGCAAAUCUUAAAACCUACAUAUCUCAUUCAUUAUAAGGUCAAUUUGAGUGAUUCAAAAUCCUAAAUUCAUUAGAACUUCACAAGAAAUUUACAUAUCUCCUUCAUUUUAAGGUCAAAUUGAGUGAUUCAAAAGACUAAAUUCAUUAGAAUUAAACAAUGAAUCCAUUGGGAGCAGUUAAACGCGUGAAAAAUAUACCUGUAAUGAGCAGGUCGAGUUGUCUUCCAAUUUGUGAAUGGGAAGAAGCUUCCGAGGCAAUUUUUACAAGAGAAAAUUAGUGGGUAUCGCAGAGGUAAGUUAUUUAAUUAUAAAAACCCAUUUAUAGGUGAUAAUAAAUCAUAAUACCAACCUUUAAUUCAUGAAAAGCAGUAGAAAAAUAGGAUUUUGGGGCCUGAGAUUAUGAGACCUUUAGGGGUCGAUUUCAGGGGUCAAAUGGACUUCGAUUUUGGUGUUCUUUAUAUGUAUAGAAUCAGGAGACGAUGAAGAACACAUUUAUGUAAAAAAUUCUGAGUUUCAAGAAUUGGACCCGGGGCUCGGGUUUUGUCAAUUUCGGAAUUAUUGAUGCUUUUCGGCUAUAUUUGAUUGGGUAUUGAUCCUGUAGUGUAAUAUGAUGUUUUCGUUGUGGUUUUGUCUAGAUUCGACGCGCGAGGAGGUCGAUUCAAGAGGAAAGGGCAUUGCGGGCUAGUCUACUGCCGGUUAGAGGUGAGUAGUUUGUAUAGAUGAUGACCAGAGAGUUUGAAACCUUAGUUUAUCACAUCGUGACACAAUGUUAGGGCGCGACUCCACCCCAUGGCAGGUGCAGGAUGGUAUAUGAUUGGGGAUUAUGACUUGGUCCAUCUCGAGAGCAGAAUAUAAAUUAUUGGUGACUGAUACACACAUUGUGUUGUUGAUAAUUGGGCUUAAUGCCAUGUUUGGGACCUUGUGCCGAUCUAUAGUACCCGUCUAGGGUGAUUAUCUGUGUGAUAACAUGAUUUGCAUAAUCAUUGAUCUCAGUCCCGUGUUUAAUCACCGUAAUGAAAUGCUAAGUCAGUUAACCUGAAAUUAAAUAAUUAAAUUAUAUUCUUCCUAAGAGUUGAAAACUGAAAACUAAGUUGUAUCUAUUAUGUGAAUCCUAUGCAUAUUAUGGACAGAGCAUGGAUCGGGCUACACGCCGUAGCGAUUAUAUAUAUUGGAUCGGGCUACACGUCGUAGCGAGUAUAUACAUUGAUAUUGAGGCCGAGAGCCUGGUUUAUGCCAAUAUUUGGCUGAUAUUGCGCUUGGGCUGAAGGAGCCCCUCCGGAGUCUGUACACACCCCCAGUGAGCGCCCUCGACGAUAAAUAAAUAUGGAUGGCUCAGGCUGCACGCCACAGCAUAUUCAUGUGCAUUUCAUUGCAUUUUUUAUCUGAUACUUGAUUGCUAUUUUGAUAGUGUUUUGCUGUUAGUUCAUCGCUAAGGAAUAGGACUGUUAGAUUUCGUGGAUUUUUUACUUUCAGACAUUUCUAUGCUUAUUAUUCACUGAGUCGGUAGUACUCACCCUUACUCCCUGCACCUUGUGUGCAGAUUCAGGUACAUCGAAGGCUUAGCUGACAAAUCAUAGUCUCCAGAUAUUUCCUGAGUCGUUGAGGUAGCUGCAUGACGUUCGCAGGACCUGGUUGCUCUUCAUUUUCCA